AGGGAAAGGCGAAAAGAACCCCGGCGAGGGGAGUGAAAAAGAACCUGAAACCGUGUACGUACAAGCAGUGGGAGCCCCACCACUAAGCCAGUGGUGAACUCCACAUACGCAUCCUUUGCUGAGGAUACGGUUAACGGAGCGAAAGCGACGUUCAACCUCAAAAGAAGCAGAGGGGGCUUAGUGGUGGGGUGACUGCGUACCUUUUGUAUAAUGGGUCAGCGACUUAUAUUCUGUAGCAAGGUUAACCGAAUAGGGGAGCCGGAGGGAAACCGAGUCUUAAUUGGGCGUUAAGUUGCAGGGUAUAGACCCGAAACCCGGUGAUCUAGCCAUGGGCAGGUUGAAGGUUGGGUAACACUAACUGGAGGACCGAACCGACUAAUGUUGAAAAAUUAGCGGAUGACCUGUGGCUGGGGGUGAAAGGCCAAUCAAACCGGGAGAUAGCUGGUUCUCCCCGAAAGCUAUUUAGGUAGCGCCUCGUGAAUUCAUCUCCGGGGGUAGAGCACUGUUUCGGCUAGGGGGUCAUCCCGACUUACCAACCCGAUGCAAACUGCGAAUACCGGAGAAUGUUAUCACGGGAGACACACGGCGGGUGCUAACGUCCGUCGUGAAGAGGGAAACAACCCAGACCGCCAGCUAAGGUCCCAAAGUCAUGGUUAAGUGGGAAACGAUGUGGGAAGGCCCAGACAGCCAGGAUGUUGGCUUAGAAGCAGCCAUCAUUUAAAGAAAGCGUAAUAGCUCACUGGUCGAGUCGGCCUGCGCGGAAGAUGUAACGGGGCUAAACCAUGCACCGAAGCUGCGGCAGCGACACUGUGUGUUGUUGGGUAGGGGAGCGUUCUGUAAGCCGUUGAAGGUGUGUCGUGAGGCAUGCUGGAGGUAUCAGAAGUGCGAAUGCUGACAUAAGUAACGAUAAUGCGGGUGAAAAACCCGCACGCCGGAAGACCAAGGGUUCCUGUCCAACGUUAAUCGGGGCAGGGUGAGUCGACCCCUAAGGCGAGGCCGAAAGGCGUAGUCGAUGGGAAACGGGUUAAUAUUCCCGUACUUGGUGUUACUGCGAAGGGGGGACGGAGAAGGCUAUGUUGGCCGGGCGACGGUUGUCCCGGUUUAAGCGUGUAGGUGUGUGUUCCAGGUAAAUCCGGUUCACUUUAACACUGAGGCGUGAUGACGAGGCACUACGGUACUG
RNAcentral lists this ribosomal RNA (1180 nucleotides) under Salmonella enterica. RNAcentral describes it as "partial 23S ribosomal RNA". It matches the Rfam family "Bacterial large subunit ribosomal RNA", at positions 506 to 1587 of the family's 2925-position model. The record is from RNAcentral. Lineage: Bacteria; Pseudomonadati; Pseudomonadota; Gammaproteobacteria; Enterobacterales; Enterobacteriaceae.